CCUUGUGGGGUUGGACCCCAACCGGAAUUGUCUCACGCCGCGAAAACGUGAAAUUCUGCUUGCCGCCAAAUUUUUUCCCGACAGGCUGCGACAGCUCAUGCAAGGCGUGGUUAGGGUUUACAUUCCACCUGUGGUGUAAAUUGGUGUGGCUGCGUGCAUGGGGGUUGUGUUUUCACCCCGAGACGUAUUGCUGGCAGCGGCCGCUUGAAACAUUUGGAUUCGGCUCCCCAUCAUUUAUUGCGUGAACGACGAGAGCUUAACCCAUUGAACCAGAAGCAUGUUUUGUUCGCAUCACUGCAUUGCUGUUUUCGUUUGCGCAAUUCGCUUCCAACAAGAGAGUUUUGUGCAUCUUGCUAUGCGGAUGGAACGGAUUUGUGUUUGAGAUCACCGAGUGUAACGCAUGUUCUGAUCGCCUUUUUAUCAUGUUUCGCUUUGGUCGCCGUUCAAUCAAAUCUCCAACUUAUUAAAUCUCUUUGAAACAAUUCAAUUCAAUUCAGUUAACAGGAGAGCA
Long non-coding RNA from Cryptomeria japonica (Japanese cedar), 511 nucleotides. RefSeq lists it as uncharacterized. Lineage: Eukaryota; Viridiplantae; Streptophyta; Pinopsida; Cupressales; Cupressaceae. The record is from RefSeq and is a predicted model, not a curated record. The transcript has 2 exons.